AUGCCGUCCCGGUCCGCAAUAAACAGAGCCAAGGCUGGAGAGCCUGGAAGGAUGCUAGUGAGAGGGUGCACUGCACACAAAAUGGAGAUGGAUGGAGGUAGUAAGUACAGAUCAAGAGGCCACACAAUGGGCAGCAACAACUACAAAAGGCUCCCCUACCUGCUGCUCCUGCUGCUGGCUGUCGGUGCCGCCACGCUGAGCGUCAGCGUGCUGCACAAGAUGAGGGAACGGCGCCUUCUCUCCGUCCUCCUCCAGGAACGCGAGCAGCAGCUCAUGUCCCUCCAGGUCCGCCUCGAGAAUGAGAAGGAAAUUAGUAAAGAGAUGAGGAGAAAAGUGGAUGAACUGGAAGCUAAAACGUCUAUCCUGAGUAUUGAGAGGACAGAACUGAAGAACAAGGUCAUGAAUUCAGAAACAACCACCACCUAUCUUACCAACACCCAGAAAGAACUGGAGGCAGCUCUUGUGGAGAAAGAGAGCCAUAUCAACCAAAUGAAAGAGAUUGUAGCUGCUUCAGGGCCUGACCAGAUGUCUGCUAUAAAAGAACUCCUGCAACAAAAGGAAGCUGAGCUUGAAGAGAUCAAGACCAAGUUCAGCGGCAAUGCUGUGUUAGCCACAAACAAUGAAAAUGCAACUUCUGACACUGUGGCACCUGAGAAUUCUGCAAGCUCUGAUGAUACCAUACCUGCUCCAACAACCAUACCUGCUCCAACAGAAGAUCAUUCCUAUAACAGCACUGCAUCAGAGAGCAACCACCAAGACGAGAGAAUUUUAGAGAGCACAAACAACAAAGAUGUAAAUCCUGAUGCUGUGAUACCUGAGGAAAAAAUAAAUUCCAGUGAUUCCAUGCCUGCUACAGGAGAAGAACUGCAUUCCGACGACACCACUGCAUCAGAGAGCAACCACCCAGAUGAGAGAACUGUAGUGGGCACAAACAACGAAGAUGCUGUAACUCCUGACACUGUCAUAGCUGAGGAAAAAGCAAACUCCAGUGGUUCCGCACCUGAUCAAGCAGAAGAACUGCAAUCCUACAACACCACCGCAUCCGAGAGCAACCACCAAGAAGAUGGUUCAUCAGAAGGUCAGUUUGUAAAGUUCACAACUAACUUCGAAGAUGAUGCCUUACAAGAGAAAACAGACGAUGCCAAUCAAAGUUCUGACGACCCCCCUCUAAAGGGAACGCAUUCAGAGGAAUCUGAACUUCGUCAAUCGGCAGACAGUCAAGAAAUCAGCAAAGAAGAAGUAGAUGGGAGAAAACAAUUGGAGGACACCCAAGGCGAGGUCAGCUACCACAGCAGAGAGAGUAAGCUGCUUGAGAAGGAAGACGGCAAAGAAGUUGCUAGAGAACCAGAGAAGGAAAUCAACCCUGAUGGUGAGAUGAAGAUCUCAAAAGACAGUCAAGAAAUCAGCAAAGAAGAACUCGAUGGGAAAAAGCAAUUGGAGGACCCCCAAGGCGAGGUCAGCUACCACAGCAAAGAGAGUAAGCUGCUUGAGAAGGAAGAUGGCAAUGAAGUUGCUAGAGAAGCAGAGAAGGAAAUCAGCCCUGAUGGUGAGAUGAAGAUCUCAAAAGACAGUCAAGAAAUCAGCAAAGAAGAACUAGAUGGGAAAAAACAAUUGGAGGACCACCAAGGCGACCACAGCACAGAGAGUAAGCUGCUUGAGCAGGAAGAUGGAAAAGAAGUUGCUAGCGAACCAGAGAAGAAAAUCAACCCUGAUGGCGAGAUGAAGAUCUCAAAAGACAGCUUGACUGAAGCCAACCAAGAGAUAAUCCAAGUCGUGGAACCUGUUGCCAGCCCUGCAGAUGCAAACCUCAGCUUGUCCACAAAUAACAGGGAAUCAAAAGAGACAAGCAAGAGGCGUAGGAAGAGGAAGUCCAGAUCUAAAAGGAGGAAGAGGACCGAUGUUGCUGCCAGCAAUGUUGAUGGAGAAGUCAUCAAAGGGAGGUAG
This 1944-nucleotide ribosomal RNA is filed under the name Triticum aestivum (bread wheat). RNAcentral's name for it is "partial small subunit ribosomal RNA". The record is from RNAcentral. Lineage: Eukaryota; Viridiplantae; Streptophyta; Magnoliopsida; Poales; Poaceae.